UUAUCGGUACGGGUUGUGGGAGCAAGAUCCCGGAGAUGGAUUCUGAGACAUGAAUCCAGGCCCUACGGGGCGCAGCAGGCGCGCAAACUUUACAAUGCGAGCAAUCGUGAUAAGGAAACCCUGAGUGCCUGUCGAUGCAGGCUGUUCAUAUAUUUAAAUCGUAUGUGAAGAAAGGGCAGGGCAAGACCGGUGCCAGCCGCCGCGGUAAUACCGGCUGCUCGAGUGAUGGCCACUAUUACUGGGUUUAAAGCGUCCGUAGCUUGAUUUUUAGGUCUCUUGGGAAAUCUUUUGGCUUAACCACAAGGUGUCUAAGAGAUACCGGGAAUCUUGGAACUGGGAGAGGUAAGCCGUACUUCGGGGGUAGGAGUGAAAUCUUGUAAUCCUCGAGGGACGACCUAUGGCGAAGGCAGCUUACCAGAACAGCUUCGACAGUGAGGGACGAAAGCUGGGGGAGCAAACGGGAUUAGAUACCCCGGUAGUCCCAGCCGUAAACAAUGUGUGUUAGGUGUGUCGGUUACCACGCGUAACUGAUGUGUCGAAGAGAAAUCGUGAAACGCACCACCUGGGAAGUACGGUCGCAAGGCUGAAACUUAAAGGAAUUGGCGGGGGAGCACCACAACAGG
This 623-nucleotide ribosomal RNA is filed under the name uncultured archaeon. RNAcentral's name for it is "bacterial SSU rRNA". It matches the Rfam family "Archaeal small subunit ribosomal RNA", at positions 261 to 888 of the family's 1478-position model. The record is from RNAcentral.